This 345-nucleotide unclassified non-coding RNA is filed under the name soil metagenome. RNAcentral describes it as "partial contains 5.8S ribosomal RNA, internal transcribed spacer 2, and large subunit ribosomal RNA". The stretch from base 1 to 120 matches the Rfam family "5.8S ribosomal RNA", at positions 35 to 154 of the family's 154-position model. The record is from RNAcentral.
GAUGAAGAACGUAGUGAAAUGCGAUACGUAAUGUGAAUUGCAGAAUUCAGUGAAUCAUCGAGUCUUUGAACGCACAUUGCGCCCCCUGGUAUUCCGGGGGGCAUACCUGUCCGAGCGUCAUUGCUGCCCUCAAGCACGGCUUGUGUGUUGGGCCUCCGUCCUCCUCCCGGGGGACGGGCCCGAAAGGCAGCGGCGGCACCGCGUCCGGUCCUCGAGCGUAUGGGGCUUCGUCACCCGCUCUUGUAGGCCCGGCCGGCGCUUGCCGACACAUCAAUCUUUUUUCCAGGUUGACCUCGGAUCAGGUAGGGAUACCCGCUGAACUUAAGCAUAUCAAUAAGCGGAGAA